Molecule: ribosomal RNA, 374 nt
Filed under: uncultured bacterium
Lineage: Bacteria
Description: bacterial SSU rRNA
Rfam family: Bacterial small subunit ribosomal RNA
Source: RNAcentral
UAGUGUUAAUAGCAUACUCUAUUGUACGUUAGCUGCAGAAGAAGACACCGGACUAACUACCGUCGCCACGCAGCCGCGGUAAGUACGGAGGGUGCGAGACGUUAAGUACGGUAAUUACGUGGGACGUAAAGCGCAUGCAGGUGGUUUGUUAAGUCAGAUGUAGAAACGGACCCGGGGCGUACCAACCUACGGUAAGUUGCUAUUUAGUAAACGUGGACAAACUAGAGUACUGUAGAGGGGGUAGGAAUUUCAGGUGUAGCGGUGAAAUGCGUAGAGAUCUGAAGGAAUACCGGUGGCGAAGGCGGCCCCCUGGACAGAUACUGACACUCAGAUGCGAAAGCGUGGGGAGCAAACAGGAUUAGAUACCCUGGUAG